Molecule: unclassified non-coding RNA, 90 nt
Filed under: Pseudomonas brenneri
Lineage: Bacteria; Pseudomonadati; Pseudomonadota; Gammaproteobacteria; Pseudomonadales; Pseudomonadaceae
Source: RNAcentral
UGUGGGAGCGGGCUUGCUCGCGAAAGCGGUGGUUCAGCCACUACAUCUGGUGGCUGGCACGCCGCCAUCGCGAGCAAGCUCGCUCCUACA